CGUACAACUUUUGGUUAAACUUUUGAUUGCUAAUGUGUUGCUAGGCAGUUGCUAUCAUUUCUGAAAAGGUUGCUAAGCUGUUGCUAGGCAGUUGCUAAUGUUUUCCAGGUGGUUGUUAAGCUAUUGCUAACUGGUUGCUAGGCAAUUGCUAACAUAUACCAGGUAGUUGCUAAGGUGUUGCUAGGUGGUUGCUAAAGUGUUGCUAUGCGGUUGCUAGGGUGUUGCUAGGUUGUUGCUAAGGUGUUGCUAUGGUAUCUGGGGUGGUUGCUAAGAUGUUGCUACGUGGUUGCUAGGGUGUUGCUAUGGUAUCCGGGGUGGUUGCUAAGGUGUUUCUAGGUGGUUGCUAGGUGGUUGCUAAGGUGUUGCUAUGGUAUCCGGGGUGGUUGCUAAGAUGUUGCUAGGUGGUUGCUAAGGUGUUUCUAUGGUAUCUGGGGUGGUUGCUAAGGUGUUUCUAGGUGGUUGCUAAGGUGUUGCUAUGGUAUCCGGGGUGGUUGCUAAGAUGUUGCUAGGUGGUUGCUAAGGUGUUGCUAUGCGGUUGCUAAGGUGUUGCUAUGGUAUCUGGGGUGG
Long non-coding RNA from Astyanax mexicanus (Mexican tetra), 567 nucleotides. RefSeq lists it as uncharacterized. The record is from RefSeq and is a predicted model, not a curated record. The transcript has 2 exons. NCBI's taxonomy places the organism in Eukaryota, Metazoa, Chordata, Actinopteri, Characiformes, Acestrorhamphidae.